ACGAACGCUGGCGGCAUGCCUAACACAUGCAAGUCGCACGAGACCUUCGGGUCUAGUGGCGCACGGGUGCGUAACGCGUGGGAACCUGCCCUUAGGUUCGGAAUAACUCCCCGAAAGGGGUGCUAAUACCGGAUAAUGUCUUCGGACCAAAGAUUUAUCGCCUUUGGAUGGGCCCGCGUUGGAUUAGCUAGUUGGUAGGGUAAAAGCCUACCAAGGCGACGAUCCAUAGCUGGUCUGAGAGGAGGAUAAGCCACACGGGGACUGAGACACGGCCCAGACUCUCGCGGAACGAGCGGGGGGAGAAUGGUGAAGAAGGGCCGAAGGCUUAAACCGCCAUUGCGCGGGGAGUGUGCGGGCCCUGGGGUUGAAAAGGUCUUUUGCCCGGGGGAAAAAAGCACGGUCCGGGGAAAAAAAGCCCCGACUAACUCCGUG
Molecule: ribosomal RNA, 432 nt
Filed under: uncultured bacterium
Lineage: Bacteria
Description: partial 16S ribosomal RNA
Rfam family: Bacterial small subunit ribosomal RNA
Source: RNAcentral